This 1895-nucleotide long non-coding RNA is filed under the name Vigna radiata. RNAcentral describes it as "long non-coding RNA (VRAD_LNC001188)". The record is from RNAcentral. Lineage: Eukaryota; Viridiplantae; Streptophyta; Magnoliopsida; Fabales; Fabaceae.
UAUGAAGGAAAAUUCUGCAAAUUAAAUAAUCUGGAUAUUUAAUAAAAUAAUAUUAUGUAAAUCUUUUAGAAGAUUUAGUUGUUGUUAUUUUAAAAAUUAGUUAAAAGAGAAUAAGAGAUAUACUCUUGGUGGGUUUAAAGAUUAAAAGAAAUAUUAUAUUUAGAGAAAAUCAUUACUAGAUAUUUUAGAUUUUAAAAAGAUUUGGUGGUUGAUGAUAUUUUAAAAAGUAGUUAAGAUAGAAUAAAGAGGAAAUCUUAGUGGUUUUAGAUAUAAACUGAGAGAUUUUAUUUAUAUUAAAAGGAUAGAGAUAGAAUAGAAGAGGAUAAAAAGGAUAAGAGUGAAAAAUGGUUGGCAUUUUGUUACCCUAAAUGCAAAAAACGAAAAUUACAAAUAUAAGGGAGAGAAAAGAUGUUUUCUGGGAGAAAAUAGAGCAGAGAAUGAGGCAUCAAAAAUAGGAGAACCAUCGGUGACGUUCUGAAGCUUUCUUGGUGGUUUUGGAAACAAAAAAUAGUACGACACCAGGUAAGGGGGGAACCAGUUAUAUUUUAACACAUGGUUGAUUUAGGGUUUUGAUAAGUACUUUUAUGUUAUGAGGAAAUAUUUUGUGAUGUGGUAUAAUAUUUAUUCUAUGCUUGUGAAUCAUUGUAAGGGGGUGACUAGAAUUAUCAUGUGUGUUUGGGGUUGGGUGAUGUUGCAGUUACCGUUAUUGUUGUUAUUUCCAUUCGUGUAUAAAUGUAUAUAUAUUGUGAGGUGUGCAUUUCGGUUUGCAUGGGAGUGAGUUGAGAGAGAUACAUCUAAUGCAUAUUAAUAUAAGUAACCCUUGUUAUGUGGAUUUUUGGGUUGUUGUGGGCGGGAGUUUUAAUGAAGCGACUAGAGAUUUGUAUAGUAUACAUGUUGUUUUAGUCGGUAUAUAUAAGUUAAGAGAUGGUAUGAAUAAUUUUUAUAAUUUAAUAUGAGGGAUUAUUAUGUAUGUAAAAUAAAUUAUAAAAGUUGAAUAUUUUUAUGCGUUGUGGUGAUAUUUUAUCGCAGUAAUUUUAUAUGUUUCUGUGGUGACUUAUUAAUGUGGUAAUAUGCUUAUAAGAUGUUGUUGUGGUGUUGUACAUGAGUCUUAUUUUAUAUGGUGUAGUAAAAUCUUGUGUUUGAUGAAUUGAUGUUUAUCAUUGGGAUUUUGAGUGAAAAGUGUUGAGAUUGUGUUUAAAUCGAUGAUUGGUUCUGUGAUACAUAUUAGUGAGGAUGAGUAGUAGUUUGUGAUCGGGGAGUUAAUAUAUAGUAUUGAGACUAUGCAUGAAAGGUGAUGAGCAGGACGUGUUGAACAUUAUGAUGAGGGAGCACUGUAUAUUUUGAUAAUGGUGAGAUAAACUUUAUGAUUGGUGAGCAAUACAUGUUGUUGAGAAUGAGUAUUGAUGUGUGAUGUGGACAUGAAACUAUGUUAUUUCCUUGUACUAUCGUCGGUCAUGUGUGAGCUUUUCAUACUGUGGUACGUUAAGAAUGUGAUGUUGUUGGACUCUCGUUUAAGAGAUAGUGAUUCGAGUGUCACUUCCCUCUGCGCGGGGAGGUGGAUGUCUCGCCCAAAAGACUUCGGCUCGUGUUUAGUAUAGUGCACUGGUGCGUGUAGUGCCAGUGUUUUUACUUGUUAGUCUUUGAGAAGUCGGGGAGAUAGGUCGGAAGUUGCGAUGGAAGACGGGUCGAAUUGCCCUGUUGAGGAACAGGUACCUGUUAGUGAUAACAGGUCAUGACGACACAGUAAAAGGAAACGACAUUGGGUCAUGAAUGGAUUGGUUAUGAUAUUGAUGUUGUGAUGAAAUAUGUUAUAUGUUUAUAUUACUCUGUGAUUAAAAUGAAAUAUGCUUUAUUGUGUGUUAUGAUAUUUCUGGUUGCUCACCCUGAAAGUUGUG